Molecule: ribosomal RNA, 238 nt
Filed under: uncultured bacterium
Lineage: Bacteria
Description: partial 16S ribosomal RNA
Rfam family: Bacterial small subunit ribosomal RNA
Source: RNAcentral
UGGCGGACGGGUGAGUAACGCGUGGGUAACCUGCCCUGUACAGGGGGAUAACAGUUGGAAACGGCUGCUAAUACCGCAUAAGCGCACGAGAGGACAUCCUUUUGUGUGAAAAACUCCGGUGGUACAGGAUGGGCCCGCGUCUGAUUAGCUGGUUGGUGGGGUAACGGCCCACCAAGGCGACGAUCAGUAGCCGGUCUGAGAGGAUGAACGGCCACAUUGGAACUGAGACACGGUCCAA